This 563-nucleotide long non-coding RNA is filed under the name Diabrotica virgifera virgifera (western corn rootworm). Its description in RNAcentral is "uncharacterized LOC126888163". Lineage: Eukaryota; Metazoa; Arthropoda; Insecta; Coleoptera; Chrysomelidae. The record is from RNAcentral.
CAGUGGUGGGAUCACGAUCAGUAGAAUGGUAGAAUGCUGACGUCACAAAAAUAAUUCUACAAUCGACAAUUUUGGUAUCACGUUAACACGCUUGGGAAAGUAGAAUCGGUGCUCGGCAAUGUUCGGAUAUUCUACUAGCCAUGUUAAAAAUAUCGCUUCUUCUUCUUAAAAAUAUUGCUGUUUGACGUGUGGUUGUCUUUAUUUUGUGGUGGUUGUAUUCAAAAAGCUAACCUAAAGAAAGAUUAUAAUUUGUGAUUAUUUUCAAUUUGUAUAUUUUUGUCUUGGGUUGUUUGGAACUAUUUUAUUAGAAAUCACUAAAUUUUUAAAUUUUACCUGUGACUAGAGAACAUUGUUAUAUUAAGGUAUUUUUAUUCUUGGUAUGAAACAAUGUUAAGACAAUACUGUGUGCUUUUUCAGUCCUAUGAAAGAAAAUGUUUUGGAUGUAAUAGAGAAGUACUACAACUUUGUUAUGAAGAUUUGUCUUUAUGUUAUUUUUAUAAUGUUCAUGGAUUAUAUUUGUUUUUAUGUUUUCUUCAGUUUAAAUAAAGUUUAUGUUUUACCCA